AUGAACGCUGGCGGCGUGCCUAAUACCUGCCAGUCGAGCGAACAGACGAGGAGCUUGCUCCUCUGAUGUUAGCGGCGGACGGGUGAGUAACACGUGGAUAACCUACCUAUAAGACUGGGAUAACUUCGGGAAACCGGAGCUAAUACCGGAUAACAUGUUGAACCGCAUGGUUCAACAGUGAAAGACGGUCUUGCUGUCACUUAUAGAUGGAUCCGCGCCGCAUUAGCUAGUUGGUAAGGUAACGGCUUACCAAGGCAACGAUGCGUAGCCGACCUGAGAGGGUGAUCGGCCACACUGGAACUGAGACACGGUCCAGACUCCUACGGGAGGCAGCAGUAGGGAAUCUUCCGCAAUGGGCGAAAGCCUGACGGAGCAACGCCGCGUGAGUGAAGAAGGUCUUCGGAUCGUAAAACUCUGUUAUUAGGGAAGAACAAAUGUGUAAGUAACUAUGCACGUCUUGACGGUACCUAAUCAGAAAGCCACGGCUAACUACGUG
RNAcentral lists this ribosomal RNA (496 nucleotides) under uncultured bacterium. RNAcentral's name for it is "partial 16S ribosomal RNA". It matches the Rfam family "Bacterial small subunit ribosomal RNA", at positions 29 to 507 of the family's 1533-position model. The record is from RNAcentral.